Molecule: unclassified non-coding RNA, 405 nt
Filed under: soil metagenome
Description: partial contains 5.8S ribosomal RNA, internal transcribed spacer 2, and large subunit ribosomal RNA
Rfam family: 5.8S ribosomal RNA (bases 1-121)
Source: RNAcentral
GAUGAAGAACGCAGUGAAAUGCGAUAAGUAAUGUGAAUUGCAGAAUUCAGUGAAUCAUCGAAUCUUUGAACGCACCUUGCGCCCUUUGGCUAUUCCGAAGGGCAUGCCUGUUUGAGUAUCAUGAACAUCUCAACUCCUCGCGGUUUGCCCGUGACGAGCUUGGACCUUGGGGGUCUUGCCGGCCUGCGGGUCGGCUCCUCUCAAAUGAAUCGGCUUGCCGGUGUUUGGUGGCGUCACAGGUGUGAUAACUAUCUACGCUUGUGGUUUUCCGCCAGGUAACCUCCAGCGAUGGGGGUUCACUGGAGCUCACAAAUGUCUCUCCUCGGCGAGGACGGCUUUUUGAACGUUUGAUCUCAAAUCAGGUAGGACUACCCGCUGAACUUAAGCAUAUCAAUAAGCGGAGGA